This 2921-nucleotide ribosomal RNA is filed under the name Proteus mirabilis. Its description in RNAcentral is "bacterial LSU rRNA". It matches the Rfam family "Bacterial large subunit ribosomal RNA". Lineage: Bacteria; Pseudomonadati; Pseudomonadota; Gammaproteobacteria; Enterobacterales; Morganellaceae. The record is from RNAcentral.
GGGUUGUGAGGUUAAGCGAAUAAGCGUACACGGUGGAUGCCUAGGCAAUCAGAGGCGAUGAAGGACGUGCUAAUCUGCGAAAAGCGUCGGUAAGGUGAUAUGAACCGUUAUACCCGACGAUAUCCGAAUGGGGAAACCCAGUAUCCAAUGGAUACUAUCAUUAACUGAAUCCAUAGGUUAAUGAGGCGAACCGGGAGAACUGAAACAUCUCAGUACCCCGAGGAAAAGAAAUCAACCGAGAUUCCCCUAGUAGCGGCGAGCGAACGGGGAGCAGCCCAGAGUCUUAAUCAAUAGCAGUGUCAGGAGAACGGUCUGGAAAGUCCGGCAGUAAAGGGUGAUAGCCCCGUAUCUGAAGAUGCUGUUAUUGUGAACUCGACGAGUAGGGCGGGACACGUGUUAUCCUGUCUGAAUAUGGGGGGACCAUCCUCCAAGGCUAAAUACUCCUGAUUGACCGAUAGUGAACCAGUACCGUGAGGGAAAGGCGAAAAGAACCCCGGCGAGGGGAGUGAAAAAGAACCUGAAACCGUGUACGUACAAGCAGUAGGAGCCAAAGAAUGGGGUGACUGCGUACCUUUUGUAUAAUGGGUCAGCGACUUAUAUUCUGUAGCAAGGUUAACCGUAUAGGGGAGCCGUAGGGAAACCGAGUCUUAACUGGGCGAAUGAGUUGCAGGGUAUAGACCCGAAACCCGGUGAUCUAUCCAUGGGCAGGUUGAAGGUUGGGUAACACUAACUGGAGGACCGAACCGACUAAUGUUGAAAAAUUAGCGGAUGACUUGUGGAUGGGGGUGAAAGGCCAAUCAAACCGGGAGAUAGCUGGUUCUCCCCGAAAGCUAUUUAGGUAGCGCCUCGUGAACUCAUCUUCGGGGGUAGAGCACUGUUUCGACUAGGGGGUCAUCCCGACUUACCAACUCGAUGCAAACUGCGAAUACCGAAGAAUGUUAUCACGGGAGACACACGGCGGGUGCUAACGUCCGUCGUGAAGAGGGAAACAACCCAGACCGCCAGCUAAGGUCCCAAAGUCAUGGUUAAGUGGGAAACGAAGUGGGAAGGCUCAGACAGCCAGGAUGUUGGCUUAGAAGCAGCCAUCAUUUAAAGAAAGCGUAAUAGCUCACUGGUCGAGUCGGCCCGCGCGGAAGAUGUAACGGGGCUAAACCAUGCACCGAAGCUGCGGCAGCGAACUAUGUGGUUGUUGGGUAGGGGAGCGUUCUGUAAGCCUGCGAAGGUGUACUGUGAGGUAUGCUGGAGGUAUCAGAAGUGCGAAUGCUGACAUAAGUAACGAUAAUGCGGGUGAAAAACCCGCACGCCGGAAGACCAAGGGUUCCUGUCCAACGUUAAUCGGGGCAGGGUGAGUCGACCCCUAAGGCGAGGCUGAAAAGCGUAGUCGAUGGGAAACGGGUUAAUAUUCCCGUACUGGUGGUAACUGCGAUGGGGGAACGGAGAAGGCUAGGUUGUCCGGGCGACGGUCGUCCCGGUUCAAGCAGGUAGGCAGAGUGAUUAGGCAAAUCCGGUCACUUAAUGCUGAGAUGUGAUGACGAACCACCAAGGUGGUGAAGCAAUUGAUGCCCCGCUUCCAGGAAAAGCCUCUAAGCUUCAGGUUACCAACAAUCGUACCCCAAACCGACACAGGUGGUCAGGUAGAGAAUACUCAGGCGCUUGAGAGAACUCGGGUGAAGGAACUAGGCAAAAUGGUGCCGUAACUUCGGGAGAAGGCACGCUGGCGGUAGGUAAAGUCCCUCGCGGACGGCGCUGAAGCCAGUCGAAGAUACCAGCUGGCUGCAACUGUUUAUUAAAAACACAGCACUGUGCAAACACGAAAGUGGACGUAUACGGUGUGACGCCUGCCCGGUGCUGGAAGGUUAAUUGAUGGGGUCAGCCGUAAGGCGAAGCUCCUGAUCGAAGCCCCAGUAAACGGCGGCCGUAACUAUAACGGUCCUAAGGUAGCGAAAUUCCUUGUCGGGUAAGUUCCGACCUGCACGAAUGGCGUAAUGAUGGCCAGGCUGUCUCCACCCGAGACUCAGUGAAAUUGAACUCGCUGUGAAGAUGCAGUGUACCCGCGGCAAGACGGAAAGACCCCGUGAACCUUUACUAUAGCUUGACACUGAACAUUGAGCCUUGAUGUGUAGGAUAGGUGGGAGGCUUUGAAGUGUGGACGCCAGUCUGCAUGGAGCCAACCUUGAAAUACCACCCUUUAACGUUUGAUGUUCUAACCUAGGCCCAUAAACUGGGUCGGGGACCGUGUCUGGUGGGUAGUUUGACUGGGGCGGUCUCCUCCUAAAGAGUAACGGAGGAGCACGAAGGUUGGCUAAGCAUGGUCGGACAUCAUGCGGUUAGUGCAAAGGCAUAAGCCAGCUUGACUGCGAGAGUGACGGCUCGAGCAGGUACGAAAGUAGGUCUUAGUGAUCCGGUGGUUCUGAAUGGAAGGGCCAUCGCUCAACGGAUAAAAGGUACUCCGGGGAUAACAGGCUGAUACCGCCCAAGAGUUCAUAUCGACGGCGGUGUUUGGCACCUCGAUGUCGGCUCAUCACAUCCUGGGGCUGAAGUAGGUCCCAAGGGUAUGGCUGUUCGCCAUUUAAAGUGGUACGCGAGCUGGGUUUAGAACGUCGUGAGACAGUUCGGUCCCUAUCUGCCGUGGGCGUUGGAAGAUUGAGAGGGGUUGCUCCUAGUACGAGAGGACCGGAGUGAACGCACCACUGGUGUUCGGGUUGUCAUGCCAAUGGCAUUGCCCGGUAGCUAAGUGCGGAAGAGAUAACCGCUGAAAGCAUCUAAGCGGGAAACUUGCCUCGAGAUGAGUCUUCCCUGUCACUUUAAGUGACCUAAAGGAACGUUUAAGACUAAGACGUUGAUAGGCUGGGUGUGUAAGCGUAGCGAUACGUUGAGCUAACCAGUACUAAUGAACCGUGAGGCUUAACCUGACAACACCG